UCUCCGUUGGUGAACCAGCGGAGGGAUCAUUACAGAGUCGUAAAACACUCCCAAACCCAUGUGAACUUACCAAUGUUGCCUCGGCGGGCCUCUGGGAUUCGUCCCAUGUCCGCCGGCGGACCAAUAAACUCUUGUUAUUCUAUGGAUAUCUGAGCGUCUUAUUUAAUAAGUUAAAACUUUCAACAACGGAUCUCUUGGUUCUGGCAUCGAUGAAGAACGCAGC
RNAcentral lists this unclassified non-coding RNA (223 nucleotides) under uncultured fungus. RNAcentral describes it as "sequence contains ITS1, 5.8S rRNA gene". The stretch from base 175 to 223 matches the Rfam family "5.8S ribosomal RNA", at positions 1 to 49 of the family's 154-position model. The record is from RNAcentral. Lineage: Eukaryota; Fungi.